UGUAAGCGUAUACCAAAGUUGUUGCAGUUAAAACGCUCGUAGUCGGAAUUUGGCAGUUCCGGAUGUGUGCACGUCGUGUGCGCACUUCGCGGGGAUUGCUUUUGUGGUCUUGCGUAGGAUGAGGCACUUUUAUUAGUGAACGUCCUCACGCAACCACUUUUUACUGUGAGAAAAUCAGAGUGCUCAAAGCAGGCAUUUGCCGUGAAUGUAUUAGCAUGGAAUAAUAGAAUAGGACUUGUUUCUAUUUUGUUGGUUUGUUGGGACUGAGUAAUGAUUAAGAGGGACAGUUGGGGGCAUUUGUAUUUCGGUGCUAGAGGUGAAAUUCUUAGAUUACCGAAAGACAAACUGCUGCGAAAGCGUCUGCCAAGGAUGUUUUCAUUGA
RNAcentral lists this ribosomal RNA (382 nucleotides) under uncultured eukaryote. RNAcentral's name for it is "partial 18S ribosomal RNA". It matches the Rfam family "Eukaryotic small subunit ribosomal RNA", at positions 592 to 976 of the family's 1831-position model. The record is from RNAcentral.